GACGAACGCUGGCGGCGUGCUUAACACAUGCAAGUCGAACGGAAAGGCCCUGCUUUUGUGGGGUGCUCGAGUGGCGAACGGGUGAGUAACACGUGAGUAACCUGCCCUUGACUUUGGGAUAACUUCAGGAAACUGGGGCUAAUACCGGAUAGGAGCUCCUGCUGCAUGGUGGGGGUUGGAAAGUUUCGGCGGUUGGGGAUGGACUCGCGGCUUAUCAGCUUGUUGGCGGGGUAGUGGCUUACCAAGGCUUUGACGGGUAGCCGGCCUGAGAGGGUGGCCGGCCACAUUGGGACUGAGAUACGGCCCAGACUCCUACGGGAGGCAGCAGUGGGGAAUAUUGCACAAUGGGCGGAAGCCUGAUGCAGCAACGCCGCGUGCGGGAUGACGGCCUUCGGGUUGUAAACCGCUUUCGCCUGUGACGAAGCGUGAGUGACGGUAAUGGGUAAAGAAGCACCGGCUAACUACGUG
Molecule: ribosomal RNA, 468 nt
Filed under: uncultured bacterium
Lineage: Bacteria
Description: partial 16S ribosomal RNA
Rfam family: Bacterial small subunit ribosomal RNA
Source: RNAcentral